AUUGAACGCUGGCGGCAUGCCUUACACAUGCAAGUCGAACGGUAACGCGGAGCAAUCUGGCGACGAGUGGCGAACGGGUGAGUAAUAUAUCGGAACAUACCCUAGAGUGGGGGGAUAACGUAGCGAAAGUUACGCUAAUACCGCAUACGAUCUGAGGAUGAAAGUGGGGGGAUCGCAAGACCUCAUGCUCAUGGAGUGGCCGAUAUCUGAUUAGCUAGUUGGUAGGGUAAAAGCCUACCAAGGCUUCGAUCAGUAGCUGGUUUGAGAGAACGACCAGCCACACUGGAACUGAGACACGGUCCAGACUCCUACGGGAGGCAGCAGUGGGGAAUUUUGGACAAUGGGGGCAACCCUGAUCCAGCAAUGCCGCGUGAGUGAAGAAGGC
This 385-nucleotide ribosomal RNA is filed under the name uncultured bacterium. Its description in RNAcentral is "bacterial SSU rRNA". It matches the Rfam family "Bacterial small subunit ribosomal RNA", at positions 30 to 415 of the family's 1533-position model. The record is from RNAcentral.